This 632-nucleotide ribosomal RNA is filed under the name Mandarina anijimana. Its description in RNAcentral is "partial 12S ribosomal RNA". Lineage: Eukaryota; Metazoa; Mollusca; Gastropoda; Stylommatophora; Camaenidae. The record is from RNAcentral.
GUACAUAAUUUUAAGUAGUAUUCAUAUAUUAUUUUUAAUUGUAUAACUAUUACAUUUAAGUCCUUCUUUAUGUACUUUUUUAAAAGUACUUAUUCGCUAAGUUAAUGUAACUCGCCUAAACUUCAGGAUAGUCUGCACCUUGAUCUGUUUUAUUAGGCCUCAACCUAGUCUGAUUAUAUAUAAUAUAUAACCUUAAGUACGACGGCAUACAAAAUUUUACUUGAAGUGGAAUUCCUUGGUGGUUAUCAAUUAUUGGGUAAGUUCCCCUAAAUAUUAAAAUUACCGUCAUGCUAUUUGAGUUUUAAUCAAUUAAGAUUUUAGUGCUCAGUAUUUUAUAGGGUGUAUUGUAUAAAAGGGUAUCUAAUCCUUGUUUAAGUUCAAUAUUUAUUUAUAUUUAAGAUUAUUAAGGAAAUUAAUAUUUAUUUCACCAAAAUAAAAUGCACUAUCUAUUUUUAUAUACUACUCGUAGUUUAUUUUCGCAAAAGUAUGACCGCGACUGCUGGCACUUUUUUAGCCACAAAAAUGUUUAAUUGGUUUAAUCUUACUUUCGUAAAGUUUUUAAAUUUUCUUAUCUGGUUAAAACCUUAAAUGUACCAUAAGUUAAUCCUAUUAAAUACAAACUAUUUCACCAU